UUUGAAGACGACUUUCCUAUCUCUAGCUGUCUAAGCUAAUUUUGAGGUACAAAUGGUAUGGGGUGAAAUGUGAUUUCACUAGCUUGGAUUCAACCCAGCUGUCCAGCCUGAUGCACCAGACUGUUUCGCUCUGUUAUUAAUUUACCUCAGGCCUGACCAUGGCUAUGCAAAGGUUCCUGUUUGUGAGAGGCUGGAGCAGCCAAGCUUUGCAAAGCUCAAACUAAGCUGGGAUGCGAUCAACCGAAGGAGGAGUCCCAUUGUGGUUGUCCAUCAUAUGUCCAUGCAAUACGUUGCAGAGAUAGUGGGAAUUUGGAGGAAUUUGAUGUGUUGCUGGGUAAUUUAUCUUAUUAAGUCAUCAUUGUUGAGUUCUUCCAUGAGAGUCAUCUGGAAUCCAGACAUGCAGUGACUUAAGUGACAAUCCAAACCACCAGAAUCCAGAUGUCUUCUCUAUGAUCAAAGUAUUCAAGCCUGAAGUCUGACUUCAACUUCAGAUUCUAAUGAAAUAAACUUUGGGAAUGAAUUAAUCUUAGCCA
RNAcentral lists this long non-coding RNA (533 nucleotides) under Numida meleagris (helmeted guineafowl). RNAcentral's name for it is "lncRNA (ENSNMEG00000001647.1)". The record is from RNAcentral. Lineage: Eukaryota; Metazoa; Chordata; Aves; Galliformes; Numididae.